AGCAACUUGACGCAGUGGAAGCGUGCAGGGCUCAUAUGAUGAAACCCUGAAGUCCCUGGAUCGAAACCAGGAGUUGCUA
RNAcentral lists this transfer RNA (79 nucleotides) under Lentinus tigrinus ALCF2SS1-6. RNAcentral's name for it is "tRNA-Met". The record is from RNAcentral. Lineage: Eukaryota; Fungi; Basidiomycota; Agaricomycetes; Polyporales; Polyporaceae.